AUGAACAAUCUCUCUGGUCCAAUACCUGCUUCUAUAGGAAACUUAAGCAACUUGUCUGGUCUUUAUCUAUGGGAAAACAAUCUUUGUGGAUCUAUCCCUUCUUCUAUAGGAAACUUGAGCAAUUUAGCCAAUUUAGACCUUAGCGAAAACAAACUUUCUGGAUCCAUUUGUCAUGAAAUUGGGAUGCUUGGAUCUCUUAGUUAUCUUGGUUUAAUUCCUACUUCUAUAGGAAACUUAAGCAACCUGAGUGUUUUAUACCUCUACAAUAACACAUUUUCUGGACCUAUACCUGAAGAAAUUGGAAAGUUGGGAUUUCUUAGUGAGCUUUCUUUGUACAUGAACAAUCUCUCUGGUCCAAUUCCUACUUCUAUAGGAAAUUUAAGCAACUUGAGUGUUUUAUACCUCAGCGAUAACGCACUUUCUGGACCUAUACCUGAAGAAAUUGGAAAGUUUGGAUUUCUUAGUGAUCUUAGACUGCACAUGAACAAUCUCACUGGUUCAAUCCCUGCUUCAAUUGGGAACUUGACAAAGCUCACUUAUUUGACAUUUUCUGAAAACAUGUUGUCCGGGUAUCUUCCUCAAAAUGUUUGUUAUGGUGGAUCACUUCAAAACUUCUCAGCACAUGACAACUAUUUCAUAGGUUCCAUUCCAAAAAGUUUGAGAAACUGCACCAGUUUAAUAAGAGUGAAGUUGCACGGAAACCAUUUAGGAGGAAAUAUAUCAGAAGAUUUAGGCAUUUACCCGAAUUUGAUAUAUAUUGAUUUGAGUUAUAAUAAUUUGUAAGGAGAACUUUCUCAAAAGUGGGGAAAGUGCCAAAGUUUGCAAAGCUUGAAACUCUCCAAUAACAGAAUUUCUGGUGUAAUUCCUCCUCAACUUGGAGGAUCCACCCAGCUACAUUUUCUUGAUCUCUCCUUCAAUCAUAUAGUUGGGCAGAUUCCAAAGGAAUUAGGAAGGCUGACGUCAUUGCUUCUACUUAAUCUGGGUGAUAAUAAACUUUCAGGUAAUAUUCCAUUGGAAAUUGGAAUGCUAUCCAAUCUACAUUAUCUUAUUCUCUCAGCCAACAAUUUAACCAGAUCAAUCUCUAAACAAAUAGAAGGGUGCUCAAUAUUGUUGAACUUAAGUUUAAGCAAAAAUAAACUUAGGGGGGCUAUUCCCUCUGAGAUUGGAUAUUUAGACUCUCUUGAAAUGCUCGAUUUAAGUGAAAAUUCACUUAUCGGAAAAAUAUCACCUCAACAUGGAGAUAUGUGAAGGUUAGAAACAUUGAAUCUCUCCCACAAUGAUCUAUCCGGCUCCAUUCCCUACACUUUCAAUGAAAUGUCUGAAAUGUCAAGCUUGAUCAGUGUUGAUAUAUCAUACAAUCAAUUGGAGGGUCCGCUUCGCAAUAAUAAAGCCUUUUGUGAGGCUCCGUUUGGAGCAUUAAGAAAUAAUUGUGGUUUGAAGGCCUGCCCCACUUUUAUUACCAAGAGCAAGAAAUAUGGAGAGAAAAGGAAAAAUAAAGUUGUGAUUUUCUUUAUUGUUCCUAUCAUAGGCAGAAUGUUUCUAUCAUUGAUUGUAUUUGGGAUUCUUUACCAUGUUCUCAAGCGCCAAGGUAAGAGGAACAAGCUAAAUAGUCUAAGAGAAGCUCAAAAUGGUAAUAUGUUCGAAGUUUGGAGCUAUGAUGGGAAAAUGGUUUAUGAAAGUAUCAUUGAAGCAACGGAGGGAUUUGACUCCAAACAUUGUGUUGGAGUGGGAGGGUGUGGAAGUGUUUAUAAAGCGGUGCUACAAACAGGUCAAGUUGUUGCUGUGAAAAAAUUUCAUUCAAUACAGGAUAAUAGGAUUGCCAAUGCAAAGGCUUUUGAAAAUGAGAUCCAUGCUCUGCUAGAAAUCAGGCAUCACAACGUAGUAAAGCUUUAUGGCUUCUGCUCACAUCCACGACACUCAUUUUUAGUUUAUGAGUUUUUAGAAGGGGGAAGCUUGAAAGAGAUAUUGAGCAAUAAAAAAGAGGUAGUUAAUUUUGAAUGGGUCAAAAGGGUGAAUGUAGUAAAAGGCGUGGUUGAUGCUUUAUCCUACAUGCAUCACGAUUGCUCACCUCGGAUAGUUCAUCGAGACAUAUCAAGCAAGAACAUCAUGUUGGAUUUGGAGUAUAAGGCCCACAUCUCAGAUUUUGGCACAGCUAAGUUUUUAAAUCCUGACUCAUUGAAUCAGACUUCAUUUGCCGGAACAUUUGGAUACACAGCUCCAAAACUUGCAAAUACGAUGGAAAUGAAUGAGAAUUGCGAUGUUUAUAGCUUUGGAGUGGUGACAUUGGAAGUGAUCAUGGGAAAGCAUCCAGGAGAUCUCAUCUCACUUCUCUCAUCAUCAUCGUCGUCAUCAGCAACAACUUCAACUGCCCAUGGUAUACUAUUGAAGGAUGUGUUGGAUCAACGACUUGAACCUCCUAGAAAUCAAGUCGCAAGGAUAGUGGCGUCUGUUGCAAAGCUUGCAUUUGCAUGCCUGGAAACUAAUCCUCAAUCUCGUCCGACCAUGCAGCAAAUUUCUCGGGAGCUAUCUAUCAAAAGAUCACCUCUUUCUGAGAUGUUUGGUGAGAUUACCUUGGGACAAUUGUUGGUGUGAUCAUGCUCAAGUAUAUUCCACACUUUUUUAUUAUUAUUUUUAUUGUACUGUAUUAGGAUGAGUUAUGCAGAUUAGAAUAUUGUUCGUUUGGAUCAAAUUUAUAAUAUAAU
Quercus lobata is the source of this 2702-nucleotide RNA transcript. It is a transcript of the gene named MDIS1-interacting receptor like kinase 2-like, with no coding region annotated. The record is from RefSeq and is a predicted model, not a curated record. NCBI's taxonomy places the organism in Eukaryota, Viridiplantae, Streptophyta, Magnoliopsida, Fagales, Fagaceae. The transcript is spliced from 4 exons.